RNAcentral lists this ribosomal RNA (531 nucleotides) under Triticum aestivum (bread wheat). Its description in RNAcentral is "partial small subunit ribosomal RNA". Lineage: Eukaryota; Viridiplantae; Streptophyta; Magnoliopsida; Poales; Poaceae. The record is from RNAcentral.
AUGUGUCAACCUCCUGGGUGUGCAGAUCCAGUUGUCCCUCAUUAUUUGUGCAAGCUCCGGAAGGCGUUGUAUGGUCUAAAUCAAGCGCCACGUGCAUGGUAUUCCAGACUCAGUUCCCGUCUUCAGGAACUUGGGUUUGUGCCUUCUAAGGUUGACGCUUCCUUGUUUGUUCACAAUCGUGGUGGUGUUACUAUCUUCAUGCUUGUGUACGUGGAUGAUAUCAUUGUUGCUUGUUCUUCUCAGCCUGCUGUUCUCAAGUUACUUGUUGAUCUCAAGGCUUCCUUUGCCAUCAAGGAUCUUAGUCCUCUACAUUAUUUUCUUGGAGUUCAGGUGAAGUCUUCGCCAAGGGGACUAACUAGUUCUCUCUCUCAACAGAAAUAUAUUGGCAACAUUCUUCCUCGUGCCAACAUGAAAAAUUGCAAGAUCUCCACAACACCUAUGUCCUCCAGAGAGAAGACCAGCAAGGACGGUGGUACACCCCUCUCACAGGAUGAUAGCACAAAGUACCGGAGCUUGCCAAACGCAUUUUGA